This is a non-coding RNA of Nicotiana tabacum (common tobacco), 193 nucleotides long. NCBI's taxonomy places the organism in Eukaryota, Viridiplantae, Streptophyta, Magnoliopsida, Solanales, Solanaceae. The record is from RefSeq and is a predicted model, not a curated record.
ACUCCUAUUAGUGUUGAAGAGGUUUUGGAGUUUCUUGAGCAAAUUGAACUUGAUAUGGCAAAGAGCGGAAGAGAAACUUGCAUUGUUGAAAGAGAUACUAGCAUUGUUGAUGCAUAGUUUGAACAUGUGGUUCAACUAUGCCUCGUGGUCCUAAAGCUAGAUCGCCUAUUUGGAAAUAUUUUGAGCUAGUUGA